GGGAGACUAAUAGCAUAUGUAUACAGAGCAUGCAAACAAGAAAACAAAAAUCUCAUUUACACUUCAUCUUCCUCUCAAAAUAAAAACAUAUCUACACGUUCAACAAUUAUGAUUGCAGAAAAGUAAAGUGGGAGAUUGGUGGGGGAGGAGAGUGUAAAAACAAAAACUAACAUGCGAAAACUAGUGAACAAACCCUACAUUUUUCUGUGAGAACCUCUUUGUUGUCUCCAAGAUAGCUUCAUGUCUUCUCUUGUAUAUCUGUUUAAUUGCCUCUUGAUAUUUCAUUUCUAUAUCCUCCAGCUCCCUUCUCAAAUCCUCAUUAUCAUCCUUAGGCAAAGAGGAAAUGUUGGUCGAACAGAUCUCCACGUGGCUAUUGUUCAUGUCCAUUAAUUUGCUUUUGUCAUCAGGGAAUGGACUUUCCAUCCUGACAAAGAACUCUCCUAGGGUACCUUUCAAACCAUUGCCAUCAAAGUCUGCAAGUGCCGAUUCCAUGGAGAUGUUUGAAUUGAAAGAAAACCUUUUGUCAUUCCACUCAGUAGAAGCCGCAGAAACAUAUGACAUCGCUGAACCACGAUCAUCGACCUCUGCUGUGGUCUGGUAACCAAACUUAUCAAUAUGAGAUAUCUCAUUAAGUUUAAUAAAACCAGAACACUCCUCUUUUUCUAUGGUUGGAACUGAUCCCCUUAGAGAACAAGAUUGACAACAUGAAGUACUUGAAACAGUCUCCACAUUUUCUGAUGAAUGAUGGUUCUUCUGGUUUCCCUUAGAGUCUUCUGUUCUAUUUUGAGGAACUAGAUGCUCAAUGAGCACACAAGGUUUCCAAUUGGGUAUUAAUUUCAACAGCAACAAAUCAAUCAGCUCUGCUAUGAAUGUAAUGUUUUGAUCCUCUAGCUCUAGCUGCUCAACCAUUUCACUUGAAACUGAAAUAGCAGUAUCACCAUCAAGGUAGAAUAUGAAAUGAAUAUUUCUAACCCGAGAACCAUUCUGAUCAGCUAUUCGAAGAACUAUUGAUACAGAGUUUUCAUCACUUCCUUCACCUCUUAACAAGAAAAUAUUGCCUCUCUUUGCCCUUCGAACCUCCACACAUGGAGAAUGCAAAUGCCCAUCAAUGGAAUUAUUCGAAGAUGUGAUGAUAGGCAUAUCAGGAUCAUGAUCCAAAUCCAGGGAAGAGGGUUUAUUUCGUGUAUUGGCAGGUCCUUCUGACAUCAAACAACGAUCUCCAAAGGCUGCUGUCCUGGGCAGAACAAUAUCAGGAAGUGGCAAGGGACAGUUCCUCGCUUAGAGAGGGCAGCAGGCUUUAUUCCAGAUGAAACCUUCUUAUAUAUCUGAGCUGAGUUCCUACAUUCACUAUAAGGAUAUUCAAAAGUAACCAUCUCCAGCAUGCACAUCCCAAAGGAAUAUAUAUCAACCAACUCAUUAUAGUCCUCAUCAUACAGCUCAGGUGCCAUAAACUCAGGGGUUCCUAUUAAAAUGACAUAUACAAUAGAUCAACAUCAAGGUAAAACAUGUAAUUGAAGAACCAAAAACUGUAAUGUAAAUAAAAUGCACAAAUAGUGCCAUCAAAAUGUUAAUGAUACUAAUAAUAUCAAGAAAACGUGAAUAUUAUAGUGCACACCAAACCCAUGUGCAUCAUGGAAUAAAAAGUAUUCAGGAAAAUUGGGGGGGAAAAACAAACACCUAUAACACUUUUGUCAUGUGCCUGCCCCAUGACAGUUGCCAAACCGAGAUCUCCGAUUUUAACUUCCCCUUGGUUACCAUUAAUAAAUAUAUUAUCACAUUUCAGAUCCCUAUGAAUAAUUGGAGGCUUGUGACUGUGAAGGUAGCUCAAACCCAUCAAAAUCUGUCUAGCCCAACGCUUCAAAGCCUUAAGGUCAACAUUCCUAUGUUUCUUUCGGUACUGUCUCAAGUUACCCGAGGUAAAUAACUCAGUUAUAAUAUUAACAGUCUUGUUUUUAUCAUCAAUCCAUGAAUUGUAGAACUUUACAAUAUUGCUAUGCUUCAACGAUUUCAAGAGAUGUACUUCAGAGUAAAGCCUCUCCAAGUCUUCAGGUGACUGUAACACCUCAUCAAUCUGAACUUGGCUCCAUGCUACUUCAAGUCCAUUAACUUCAUCAAAUGCCUUAUAAACUCUCUUAAAAGCACCUUUUCCAAGCACCUCCUUGUAUCUUAUGUAUCGACCAGUUGGAUCCACCUCAAGAACAUCUGGAUCAGGAGGUUCAGAAUGGGUUCCACCAUCCUCAUUACUUUCCAUAUCAAUCAAACUCUAAUCUCAAAGGGGCGCGAAGGUGAUAGCGCUUAACGAAAAGAGAAAGGAAGGAAAGGAAAACCCUAUCCCAGUUAACCGUAAUGGAGAGAGAAAGAGAUUGAUCAAAUAAUAAACCAACACUACACCUCGUUUUCAAAGCUCUCUCUCUCCCGC
This 2419-nucleotide unclassified non-coding RNA is filed under the name Hevea brasiliensis (rubber tree). The record is from RNAcentral. Lineage: Eukaryota; Viridiplantae; Streptophyta; Magnoliopsida; Malpighiales; Euphorbiaceae.